RNAcentral lists this ribosomal RNA (505 nucleotides) under uncultured bacterium. RNAcentral's name for it is "partial 16S ribosomal RNA". It matches the Rfam family "Bacterial small subunit ribosomal RNA", at positions 28 to 507 of the family's 1533-position model. The record is from RNAcentral.
GACGAACGCUGGCGGCGUGCCUAAUACAUGCAAGUAGAACGCACAGUUUAUACCGUAGCUUGCUACACCAUAGACUGAGAGUUGCGAACGGGUGAGUAACGCGUAGGUAACCUGCCUGGUAGCGGGGGAUAACUAUUGGAAACGAUAGCUAAUACCGCAUAAUAUUGAUUAUUGCAUGAUAAUUGAUUGAAAGAUGCUAUUGCAUCACUACCAGAUGGACCUGCGUUGUAUUAGCUAGUAGGUGAGGUAACGGCUCACCUAGGCGACGAUACAUAGCCGACCUGAGAGGGUGAUCGGCCACACUGGGACUGAGACACGGCCCAGACUCCUACGGGAGGCAGCAGUAGGGAAUCUUCGGCAAUGGACGAAAGUCUGACCGAGCAACGCCGCGUGAGUGAAGAAGGUUUUCGGAUCGUAAAGCUCUGUUGUAAGAGAAGAACGGGUGUGAGAGUGGAAAGUUCACACUGUGACGGUAUCUUACCAGAAAGGGACGGCUAACUACGUG